AGUCGUAACAAGGUUUACGUAGGUGAACCUGCGGAAGGAUCAUUAAUGAGAUCAUGCCCUCGGGUGAGACCUCCAGCCACCUGUUCACCGCUAUCCGUGCCGUUGCCGGUUCCGUCGUGCGAUCGACGGCCAGCACGGACGCAAGCACUUUAAAAAUCCCGUAUUAUCAUUGUCGUCUGAGUACUAUACAAUAGUUAAAAC
RNAcentral lists this unclassified non-coding RNA (201 nucleotides) under plant metagenome. RNAcentral's name for it is "partial contains small subunit ribosomal RNA and internal transcribed spacer 1". The stretch from base 1 to 45 matches the Rfam family "Eukaryotic small subunit ribosomal RNA", at positions 1787 to 1831 of the family's 1831-position model. The record is from RNAcentral.